UCCCCGAGACACAAUGGGGGCCUUGUGCUGGGUGUGGCCUCUUGGAGGAGUGCUGGGGAGCACGCGCCGCCCGUGGAUCCGCUCCCUCCAGCGCGUCCCAGGAUAGGUGGGACUUCAGGUGGGUCGGACGGAAGGCUGCCACCUGCGCUCCGGACCAGGACGGCCUAGCGGGACUCUUCUAUUCCUCUGCUGGUGGGCAAACCAACAGUUUACUCGCUUAAAAGAAAACCAAAGAACCUUCAUUUAUCAUUGGAAACUCUAAACCAAAGCUCACAG
This is a long non-coding RNA of Nyctereutes procyonoides (raccoon dog), 276 nucleotides long. RefSeq lists it as uncharacterized. Lineage: Eukaryota; Metazoa; Chordata; Mammalia; Carnivora; Canidae. The transcript has 3 exons. The record is from RefSeq and is a predicted model, not a curated record.